GCGGAGGAAAAGAAACCAACAGGGAUUGCCCUAGUAACGGCGAGUGAAGCGGCAACAGCUCAAAUUUGAAAUCUGGCCCUAGCGGUCCGAGUUGUAAUUUGUAGAGGAUGCUUUUGGUUAGGUGCCUUCUGAGUUCCCUGGAACGGGACGCCAGAGAGGGUGAGAGCCCCGUACGGUUGGACACCGAGCCUCUAUAUAGCUCCUUCGACGAGUCGAGUAGUUUGGGAAUGCUGCUCUAAAUGGGAGGUAAAUUUCUUCUAAAGCUAAAUACCGGCCAGAGACCGAUAGCGCACAAGUAGAGUGAUCGAAAGAUGAAAAGUACUUUGAAAAGAGGGUUAAAUAGCACGUGAAAUUGUUGAAAGGGAAGCGUUUGCGACCAGACUUUUUCCAGGCGGAUCAUCCGGUGUUCUCACCGGUGCACUUCGCCUGGUUUAGGCCAGCAUCGGUUCUCUUAGGGGGAUAAAGGCCUGGGGAACGUAGCUCCUUCGGGAGUGUUAUAGCCCCUAGCGUAAUACCCUUCGGGGGACCGAGAACGC
This 536-nucleotide ribosomal RNA is filed under the name Daldinia loculata. RNAcentral's name for it is "eukaryotic LSU rRNA". It matches the Rfam family "Eukaryotic large subunit ribosomal RNA", at positions 50 to 595 of the family's 3401-position model. The record is from RNAcentral. Lineage: Eukaryota; Fungi; Ascomycota; Sordariomycetes; Xylariales; Hypoxylaceae.